GCAGGUAUAGCUCAGUGGUAGAGUAUGUGCUUAGCAUGCAUGAGAUCCUGAGUUCAAUCCCCAGUACCACCA
RNAcentral lists this transfer RNA (72 nucleotides) under Camelus bactrianus (Bactrian camel). It matches the Rfam family "tRNA". Rfam says of the family: Transfer RNA (tRNA) molecules are approximately 80 nucleotides in length. Their secondary structure includes four short double-helical elements and three loops (D, anti-codon, and T loops). Lineage: Eukaryota; Metazoa; Chordata; Mammalia; Artiodactyla; Camelidae. RNAcentral also lists the same sequence under 2 other names. The record is from Rfam by way of RNAcentral.